ACCGGAGUUUCGCGAAAACCGCAUUUUCAACGGUUGUGGAAACAAUACGAUUGGGCGAGUCCACGACGUAACGAACGCGCGUCUCCGCACGGGGAACGUUUGAAAAACGCCCGCGCGUAAUCCGCACGCGAAAUAUCGCGGUCGUCUUUUAUUUUGUUUGUUUUCUCCGCGCGCACGCCGUUCGCGAAUAAUCAAGUCGGCCGCACGGACCUAUCGUCCGCUACGACGGAAACACGAAAACGUCGAUGCGUUAUGCGUUUUUAAACGUCGAAUCCAUUACGCGUACAUUAGGGCGUUCGACGUCCUCCGAUAGCCGCGCGCCGUAACCCGUAUAUCGUUCGUAACGUUUUAUUUCGAACGU
This is a non-coding RNA of Cinara cedri, 361 nucleotides long. Lineage: Eukaryota; Metazoa; Arthropoda; Insecta; Hemiptera; Aphididae. The record is from the annotation of a GenBank genome assembly.